GGACAGCCGGAGCCCGGCCCCACCUUGCCGAAGUCCUGGACGUCGAAGAGGUCGAAGGCGCCGAAGAGCCGGUGCUUGGGCAGCCCGAACUUGUCGGCGCAGGCGGUCAGGAAGGUGCGGAUGUUCCUCAGGCACAGGAACUGCGGUGGCACCAUCACCAGGGUCACCAGGGUCACCAGGGUCACCAGGGUCACCGGUGUCACCAGUGUCACCAGGGUCACCAGGGUCACCAUCACCAGGGUGACCUCUGUCAGCACUGGCACCCCCCGUUGUCACCAUCAAAAUCAGGGUCUUUGUGUCUCCAUGGUUGUGACCACCGUUGUCACCGAUGGUGACGUCAUCUCUGUCACCGAUGUCGUCAUUGUCAACCCCGUGAACAUUGCCACCACCACCAUCAUCAUCAUCAUCAUCAUCAUCACCCCAGGUAUCUCAAUCACGCCAGUAUUGUCAUUGUCAUCAUCAACGUCACCAUCACCAACAACCCCAAUAUCCUCAACAUCAUCAUCAUCAUCAUCAUCAUCAUCAUCCCCAUUGUCGCCAUCACAGUCACCACUCUCAUCCACACCCAUCUUUGUCACCAUCAAUGUCACCAUCACCAACAACGCCAAUGUCCCCAUCAAUGUCCCCAUCAUCUCCACAACCCUAAUCCACAUCCAUCAUUGUCACCGUCAUUGUCACCACCAAUGUCACCACCAUCACCAUCCUCCUUGUCCCCAUCACCACCCUCAUCCUCACCCACCAUUGUCACCAUCAAUGUUCCCAUCAUCAUCCCCAUUGUCCCCAUCAUGGUCACCACCCUCAUCCUCACUCAUCAUUGUCACCACCAAUGUCACCAUCACCGGCAAUCCCAGUGUCCCCAUCCUCAUUGUCCCCAUUGCCUCCACCACCCUCAUCCACACCUAUCAUUGUCACCAUCAACGUCCCCACCAUUGUCACCAUCAAUGUCCCCAUCAUCAUCCUCAUUGUCCUCAUCGUUGCCAUCAGCCUCAUCCACAGCCACCAUUGUCACCAUCAAUGUCACCAUCCCCAUUGUCCCCAUCACCCACCAUU
RNAcentral lists this long non-coding RNA (1050 nucleotides) under Junco hyemalis (dark-eyed junco). RNAcentral describes it as "lncRNA (ENSJHYG00000015867.1)". Lineage: Eukaryota; Metazoa; Chordata; Aves; Passeriformes; Passerellidae. The record is from RNAcentral.